CUCCAGUAAAUCCGAACAGUGGAUCGAUCAUGGGGAUCAACCCAUGUUCAAUUUGCAUUUUGUCGAAGGUGGAGCCGAAUAGUAUAUUCACCAAACUGCCAUUGUCGACGAGCAUGCGUUUGAGCCUGUUUCUCGCUACUACAGCUCUCAUAACUAAUGCAUCACAAUGGGGGUGGUGAACUCCUUCUGCAUCUUCCUGGGAGAAGCUGAUUGGGGCCAUCCUAUUGGCCGCUUGGGACUCAUUGACAAUGUACGUAAGUAUUGGCGGGUCCUUUGCUUCCCUUGUGUAAUUCUUUUGGGCGUUUAUGGUGUUGCCAUCGAUGUGAGGUCCCCCAAUAAUUGUGUUGAUCUCCCUGAUGACUUGGCUCCCAGAAAAUGGGGUCUAAUCUCUCUGUCUGGACUGUCCUUGGUCCCUUAAUUCUCUUCUCCGGGAUGAUUGCUCUCUAUACCCUCUCUCUCCCUUGUUCGGGGAGGCGGAUCUGUGAGGAUAUUCGCUCCUUCUAGAGGGAUGUGGGUUGCUUCGAUCCCGGCGUCGAUCAGCAUCUCAGCACUCGCUGGUGUCAUGUCCAUAGAGUUGGUGGAAAGUGCAAAACAUUGCUCUUUCCAAGGGCUUGUUUGAUCGCUUCUUCUUACUACUAUCAGUUCCUCCAGAUGGCCCUGCUCCACCAGGGAAAUUCUCGUAUGCUAACACCGGGACUGCAUUUAGCGUGGCAGAAGCCACUGCUUGUCCGGAGGUGGGAGCUACCGUAUGACCUAUUUGAGUCCAUUGCUGAUGACAAGGUGUGCUGCGAGUCCUUGACCCACCUGCCUUUGAGGCGGAGGGAGUCCCUGCGCUGCACGAUUCCUGUGAUCAAUCAUCUCUUCGUUGACGAUCUCAACUCUCAUCAUUUCUACCAGCUCGCCAUAAGUGGUGGGAUUUUUGCUGCGCACGUCCCUCCAAAACAAAGUGUUCAUGUUGAGGCUGCCUUUAAAGGCUAAAAGGGCUUCUCUGUCAGUGACCUACUCGCAAUACGUGAUUUCGUCUGUAAAUCUGGUAAGAUAGCUUUUUAGCGUCUCUCUAGGGGCCUGCCUCAUAUCUUGCAGGCGUUGCAAUGAGGCCUCUCCUUCUCUCCAUGAGAGGUACUGGUUCAAGAAUACUUUCUUUAGAUCCGGCCAACUCCUAAUGCUCAGGGGGAGGAGGGGAGUCUGUUGUACCACACUUCAGCAGCUUCACUUAAAGUUAAGUAGAAGGCUCUGCAUUUCAAAGCAGGCGAGGCUCCUCUAAGGCUCAUCUGCGUCAUAUACUUGGUGAGGUGCUUCUCCGGAUCUCCCUUUCCUUCAUACUUAGGGAUCUUAGGGGGCAUGAAAUUUGCAGGCAUUGGAAAACUUUGGAUUUUCCUUGAGAAAGGGAGGUUAUCAUCAUCAUCGUCAAUUUCAUAGGAUCGACAUGGCCCAUCUGACCCUUCAUCGUCUUGAAUGUUCUAGGGAGGGGGAGGUGCUUCUCCUCGACUUCCCCAAUCAACCAAGCCCCUUCUCUCCUUCCUAUUCCUAGGAGGAGGAGGUGCUUGUUCUUGCUCCUGCUCUUGCCGAACUGAUCUUCACACUGAGUGGACCCUAUUACUAGGGUCCUGCCCUAUGCGAUCGAAGACGCUGACUGACCUUUGUGCUUCAUAUUCCUGAGGGAAAUUGUCCCCCAAUUAUGGUUCUACUGGCUGGCUCCCUUGCACAUAGGAUGUGGCUUCAGCACCCACUUCUCUUUCAAGGGGACGCUUUCUGUGCUGGCUCACACAGCCUCGGGAACGGAAUGCCGGGGUUUCUUGAACUGGAUAUGAUCCUUGGGGCAUUUGAGAACCCUGGUGACCUCGGGCUUGGAUGAAAAGUUCAUGAAUCGCCAUAUUCUGGGUUGCGAUGUCUCUCAUGCCUGUAGCUAUUUGAGCCAUUCCUUCAGUGAGCAUAGCUGUUCUUUCACCUUGGUGACGCCGGUGAUGAGGUCUCUGGUGGGUAACAUUGUUACGGGGCACCUCUUCUUCAAAGGCCUCUCUCAUAGGGUUUUUGUCUUCAUGGUUGUAACUCAUCUUAUCCCCUUUUUCAAGGGUGACAAGAACUUGGGUUAUAACUCGACUUUGUUCUUUUUCAAGAACGUGCCCUUUUCAGGGUAAGUCAAUAGUUUUCCGUUGUUUCUCUGGUGGAGAACGUAGAACUUUGGAUGGGAAGUUUUCUACAGACGGCGCCAAUCUGUUGACCUCGCAAAUUGGACCCUCCACGUGACCAACCGAUAGCUAUUCCACGUAUUCCUCUUUGCGUACAGUCAAGACAUGGUUAGAUAGACAUGGCCAGAACCAACGAAGGUGAUGGCGGCUGCAUACAAUCCGACGGUUAAAUUAGCCUCAGGUGGUCGGAAC
Molecule: long non-coding RNA, 2381 nt
Filed under: Olea europaea subsp. europaea
Lineage: Eukaryota; Viridiplantae; Streptophyta; Magnoliopsida; Lamiales; Oleaceae
Source: RNAcentral